GUUGGUGUCUGCUUAGUGGUAAAGCACUUGCCUAGCAUGCAUGAGACUCUGGGUUCAAUCCCCGUCACCACA
RNAcentral lists this transfer RNA (72 nucleotides) under Marmota monax (woodchuck). RNAcentral describes it as "tRNA.Ala". It matches the Rfam family "tRNA". From Rfam's summary of the family: Transfer RNA (tRNA) molecules are approximately 80 nucleotides in length. Their secondary structure includes four short double-helical elements and three loops (D, anti-codon, and T loops). Lineage: Eukaryota; Metazoa; Chordata; Mammalia; Rodentia; Sciuridae. The record is from RNAcentral.